GACGAACGCUGGCGGCGUGCUUAACACAUGCAAGUCGAACGGAAAGGCCCCUUUGGGGGUACUCGAGUGGCGAACGGGUGAGUAACACGUGAGUAACCUGCCCUUGACUUCGGGAUAACUUCAGGAAACUGGGGCUAAUACCGGAUAGGAAUCCUUGCUGCAUGGUGGGGGUUGGAAAGCUUCGGCGGGUUUGGAUGGACUCGCGGCUUAUCAGCUUGUUGGUGGGGUAGGGGCUUCCAAGGCUUUGAGGGGUCGCCGGCCUGAGGGGGGGACCGGCCACAUUGGGACUGAGAUACGGCCCAAACCCCUCCGGGGGGCAGAAGGGGGGAAUAUUGCACAAGGGGCGGAAGCCUGAUGCAGCAACGCCGGGGGGGGGAUGACGGCCUUCGGGUUUUAACCCGCUUUCAGCGGGGGCGAAGCUUGGGGGGACGGUACCUGAAAAAGAAGCACCGGCUAACUACGU
Molecule: ribosomal RNA, 463 nt
Filed under: uncultured bacterium
Lineage: Bacteria
Description: partial 16S ribosomal RNA
Rfam family: Bacterial small subunit ribosomal RNA
Source: RNAcentral